Molecule: ribosomal RNA, 300 nt
Filed under: uncultured bacterium
Lineage: Bacteria
Description: bacterial SSU rRNA
Rfam family: Bacterial small subunit ribosomal RNA
Source: RNAcentral
GUGCUUAACACAUGCAAGUCGAACGCGCAACUCUCUGUAGCAAUACAGGGGGCGGGCGCGUGGCGAACGGGUGCGUAACACGUGGGUAACCUUCCUUCUUGUGGGGAAUAACCCGUCGAAAGACGGGCUAAUACCGCAUGACAUUCCGGUGGCUUCGGCUGCCGGCUUCAAAGCCGCAAGGCGCAGGAGGAGGGGCCCGCGGACGAUUAGCUAGUUGGCGAGGUAACGGCUCACCAAGGCUUUGAUCGUUAGCCGGACUGAGAGGUUGGCCGGCCACACUGGAACUGAGACACGGUCCAG